This 390-nucleotide long non-coding RNA is filed under the name Rattus norvegicus (Norway rat). RNAcentral's name for it is "long non-coding RNA NONRATT009850". The record is from RNAcentral. Lineage: Eukaryota; Metazoa; Chordata; Mammalia; Rodentia; Muridae.
UGACUGUGGUGGUGCUGGUGACUGUGGUGGUGCUGGUGACUGUGGUGGUGCUGGUGACUGUGGUGGUGCUAGUGACUGUGGUGGUGCUGGUGGUGGUGACUAUGGUGAUGGUUGUGGUGCUGGUGACUGUGGUGGUGCUGGUGACUGUGGUGGUGCUGGUGACUGUGGUGGUGCUUGUGGUGGUGGUAGUGGUAGUGGAGGUGGUGGUACUGCUGCUGCUGCUGCUACAAUUAAAGGGGAAUGCACAGGUUAAACAUGCACAUCAGUAGACAGAAGCUUAAGGACCACCUUUUGCAAGUGCUAUGCUUGGUAACUGACAUAAGCUCUAGUAUGUGAGAGAUACAUAAUAACUACAUGGAUUGCCCAAUUGAAGCAGAGCUGAAUGAAGAU